This is a long non-coding RNA of Mustela lutreola (European mink), 1954 nucleotides long. RefSeq lists it as uncharacterized. NCBI's taxonomy places the organism in Eukaryota, Metazoa, Chordata, Mammalia, Carnivora, Mustelidae. The transcript has 4 exons. The record is from RefSeq and is a predicted model, not a curated record.
CCUCCCGCCGGCCCCGGGCGCGCCCUCGCUCUCCGCCCCGCACGCCCGCGCCGCGCCGCCGCCUCCGGGACGCCGCCGAGCCCGCGCCCGCUCCCCGGGGUCCGGGAAAGGGGCCCAAUCCCAACUGGUUACCCAUCGUCGUCAACUGCUGUCCAGAAGCAGGCGAUGCUCCCGACAUAUCAUCAGAAGGUCAAUAAGAGCCUGACACUAGGUCACAAUGUCUACAUCAUUCCCCUCACUUCAUGUCAUUGCGUAAGAAUUUUAUCAUCUCACAUCAUCACAAGAAGAAAGGUUUUGGCACUAUCUGUGGUUUCCUUGGAGCACAUUUCCCACAUAGAAGGGGAUACCACCGUACAGAAACAGAUGACAAUGCAGAGAGUGAGACUAGAAGAAAGAAAACGCUGAGCAGAGCUGGGCAGACUGGGCACUCCAUUUUUCUGAAACGACGGUGCAGAUUUCUAAUGCCACUGGCCUCAAGACAGACUUAUUUGUUAAACUGACGAGCUGCAGCCCUACUUUCCUCAUUGUUGAAAUGAAACGCUGAAAACUCCCUCCAGUGCAAAUCCUUUUCACAAAAGGCAAUCCAAGUCAACUGCCCUAAAGAUUACAGCUUAUAAACUUGUAAGGGCGACAAGCUACACAUACAUAUGUAAUAAAAUGUGCCUCGGAAGAGUGGGGGGGGGGGGGGAGAGUGUGUGUGUGUGUGUGUGUGUGUGUGUGUUAGAGAGACAGAGAGACCUUGUCAUAGAGAUUUCUGCAAAUUCAAGUUUCAGUAGAAGUCAAAACUACAAUUCAUCUUUGAGUAGAGACAACUCCUCUGUUCUGGGGAAAUCUCUUGAACAGGCCUUUUGGUUCUGCAGAUGUGAAGCCUACACCACUUGGAAACAAAGAUGUUUAGGGAAGAGCUGUGUAAUAAUGGGCUCCAGAAGCUGCCUUUGCCUGGUGGCAGCCCCACUGCACAGCCCCCUCCAUGAAGUCGCUCUUGGUCUGGGGGCUUCUCAGACUCACCAGAGGGACUUUAAAAAUAUAUGCCAUUUCGAAGCCCCAGGUGCAGAGAUACUGAUUGGUGAGAUCUGCCGUGGAGGGGGAGGCCCAUGCAGAUAUAUUUAGUAAAAGCUCCCCUGGGCGUGUGAGAAUAGUGUACCUUCAUGACUGUGUGCGCAUGUGCGGCCACGUGCAUUUUCUCCUUUCCCGCAAACAUUCAUGGACGAGAGCAUCUCGGUCUCCCAAAGAUUGCGUCAGAGGAUGGGCUUUAAUGCCUGACAAACUGCAGGAGAGUCAAUAAGACAGACUUGGCCUGGGCUUAGUGCAGCCCAUGUAGACAAAGCUGUGUGUGCCCCCCUACACUGGGUGUUGCCGCACUAACGAGCCCUAACUGUGGGAAAGGUACAAAGUCACUAGAUUUGACAUGUCUUAGCCAUUGACCUACUGCAGACCACAGAGUCACCCAGGAGAAAGAGGUGGGGUAUCCCCAAGAAGAGAGUACUCCCCAAGAAGGACUGCUGUCAGCCAUCCAGCAGAAGGUCAUUCCUGGGGCAGGAAAUGAGACCAGAGGAAACUGAGAGCUUAGGGAGCUAGAAGAGGAACACCACUUUGCUGGACGGUCUGCCAUGACCGGACUUUACACACAUUAUUUCUAACCCUCAAAGAGUAUGUCGAGUUGAUCCUUGGCUUAACUGGGCCAGAAAAGAGGAGAAAGGAAGAGAAUUAUUCAACUUGUGCCUUUCGCACUCACUGUCCCUAUUUGCCGCAGUUUCAACAGUCCAUAAGGAUAGCGGGAAAUAAAGUUUCUCUCCAUGAAGUGUUAGCAUACGGAACCUCUCUUCCAGCUCUUCUGAGCCAGGAAACAACAGCUACCCUUGGCAGCAGAUGUGAGUUCAGUGUGUUCGAAAGUUCUAUGCGUUCUUACUGUGCACCUUGUCCUGAUUUAAUAAAUUGGCGUCCUGACAUGUCA